UACGGAGGGUGCAAGCGUUGUCCGGAUUUAUUGGGUUUAAAGGGUGCGUAGGUGGCUGAUUAAGUCAGUGGUGAAAGUCUGUAGCUUAACUAUAGAAUUGCCAUUGAUACUGAUUAGCUUGAGUAUAGACGAGGUAGGCGGAAUUCAUGGUGUAGCGGUGAAAUGCAUAGAUACCAUGAAGAACACCGAUAGCGAAGGCAGCUUACUAGGCUAUAACUGACACUGAGGCACGAAAGCGUGGGGAGCGAACAGG
This 253-nucleotide unclassified non-coding RNA is filed under the name uncultured Cyclobacteriaceae bacterium. Its description in RNAcentral is "contains 16S-23S intergenic spacer region". It matches the Rfam family "Bacterial small subunit ribosomal RNA", at positions 524 to 776 of the family's 1533-position model. The record is from RNAcentral. Lineage: Bacteria; Pseudomonadati; Bacteroidota; Cytophagia; Cytophagales; Cyclobacteriaceae.